AUGCAGAUUCCCAGGCCUGACAGAGUCAGAUCUGUAGUUUACCAAGAUCAGAUCCAGAGUCUGCUCUCUCAGUCAUUGUUUGCUAUUUUCCUCCAUUUCUGCAUUUAUUGGAAACACAUUCUCAACUGCACAGGAAAAGACCUCAGUUUCAGAUCUUCAAUUAGAGAUGAUUCGCCUUCACCCUACUGUGGAAGGUUCCUCGCUUGAGAGUCUCGGCGCUGGAGAGGGUGGGAUGCCUCAAUUAGCUGGCUCUUCUGACCGCCUAUGGCAUGUCUGUCCACACUGUCCUGAGAUUUAGGGCCUUUAGAAGCACCAGGCUUCCAGUCUUGGGAAUUUCUGAUUAGGGCAGUUUCUCUACAGGGAACUCCAGGAAGGAGCGUAAUUGCUCAAAAUCAGAAUUCAAUCCUCCCACCAUCUCUUCCCAUCGUUAACCUCAGGAAGUCUGCAGUCACUUGCUACCCAUUACACGUCCCUUUGUUCACAGCUCUGCCUUGGAUAUUGUUAGGGCUGGCGUCACCCCUCUUUUAAUCUCCCUAGUAAACUGCUCCACUUAGCGGUAGGCAGCAUCUCCCAGAGGCAGAGCUGGGUGUAUGGAGACGGGGUAUGCCAGCUUCAGAGGACAGGUGGGAGGCCAGGAUGAAGCCUGGCCACUCACAUCAACUGGGAGUGGCAGAGACUUUCUGGGCAGUGCCUGCCUGGCCCCUGGCUUCAGCUGGGAGCUGACUUUCAGUGGGCAUGCCAUGGUUGUUGGCACUGAGAGGGCCCUUCCCUAAGGAGGGCUGAGUGGUUCCAGGAUUUUCCAGGGCCCUGGUUCCCAGAGCCAAUUCACCUUCAGAACCACCUGGAAGUGAGAGAUUCCUUAAAAUGAAGAUUUCCCAACCCAAGAAUCAGAGUCUUCUGGGUAUGGACAUGAUUCCUGCUACCUUUCCAUGAAGUAGAAAAAAGUACCCGCUCUGCGGAGAUGCGGACCCACUGCCAUGUGGCUUAGCGAAUGGAUGCAGCCUUUUUGAGAUGAGAACCUCCCUGCUUUCUUUGGGGAAGGCAGCCCUGCGUGGAGACAUGACUGGCAGCCGAAUGCAACUGCACCUCCGGCCCCCGUUUGCCUUCUUAGCCAGGUCCUUUUUGUGCAGUAAACACCCUGCAUUGUUGUAAAUGGUGGCCCUUAGGUAGGGCUGGGAAAAACCGUGCAGGUGAUUUUGGUGAUCAGCCAGGUGGGAGCCCCUGAGGCCUGGAGAGCAACUGUAACUCAAGGGGCUACCCGGGGUGAGCAUAACACCACGGCUACUCCCUUCCUGUGCUGGGGGCUCCUCAGACAUUCCUAGGCCAAGGUUCUGCCCCUCUCUUGUUUACCCACUCAAAAUAAGCAAAACAAAAGCCUAGCCUCUAGGAAUAACAUUUAGGGAAGGCAGUGACAGAAGAAAGGAGAGGAAAGGAGAAUGGAAGGAGGGGAGGGGAGGGGCUCUUAUCUAUAUCCAGCAGGUCCAGCCCUGCCUGUGCACACAGCUGAGUCACACCUCACGUCCUGCUCCACCCCAGCCCUGCCAGCCCUGAGAUAUCUGCCAAGAGGUAUUUCUCCUUCUAGGCUGAGUUCUGGGGGGUGGCAAGGUGGAUAGCACUGGUGGGGAAGCAAUGCGUCUGGACUCUCAUCCCCAGUGAAGCCUUGCAGAGCACCCUGGGGAGAGUGAGUGACCUCUCAAGGCAUUUCAGCUUUUUCAGUGGAACAGGGAGGUAGGUUUCAGGGUGUUAAUGAGAGGCAGAGGGCACCCACCCCUCCAUGGCAGGGAGAGGCUCCAAGCCACGUAGUCCCUCUGGCAUUGCUUUGUAGUAUCACGGUGUGACAAGUGUGUCAGUCAGCUUUGACUAACUUCCAUGGUGGUGACAGUGUCCUCUACUCCCUCACCCCACCCCAGAUCUCAGUGUUUACAAAAACAGAGGCUGACUUCACACUCACAUUGGCUGCAGCUCUCUCUCCAAGUCAUCUUCAUUCCUGGACCCAGGUAGGAGCAGCCCCUAUCUGGGCCAUGCGGGGCUUGUGGCACCAAGCAGUGGUGCUCAAAGCUUUUGCUGAGAUAUGCAUCUGAGGUUGCAUUGUCCAAAUCAAGUCACAGGACCAAACCUGCGUCAAUGGGGCAGGGAUGUAUAAUUCUAUCACAGGGGAUAGGGGAAUGAAUAAUUGGGAAUAGUAAUGCAAUCUUCUGCCAUGGACCCCUGACUUAGGCUGAAAGGAUUUCUUCACAGGAAGAGAGAACAUAAUUUAGCCAAAGAAGACUGUGUGGAGUAGUGGAAAGAGCAAGGCUUGGACCUGGAGGCCUGGAUUUCAACCAGGACUCGGCUAGC
This 2337-nucleotide long non-coding RNA is filed under the name Macaca mulatta (Rhesus monkey). RNAcentral's name for it is "lncRNA (ENSMMUG00000053172.1)". The record is from RNAcentral. Lineage: Eukaryota; Metazoa; Chordata; Mammalia; Primates; Cercopithecidae.